GAAAAGAGUUCACGUGAGAGCCCUGACCCAAAGGUCAGGCCCUUCCCAGCCAAACCGGCCUCUCUCAGUAGAAACGCUUGUUCCGCUCCUGGCGCUUCUGAAACACCACGGCGCCCACCACAGCACAGACGAUGAUGCCCAGGAGGGCGCAGAGCAGCAGCAGGAACACCCUCCACCCCGUCAGGGGCCCACCUCGGAAGUUUCCAGUGGGGUCAUCCACAUUGUCUACGGAGAAAAAUGUACAAGCGUGAAGGGGCUGCCUCACAACUGGCUCUGUGACCUGGACAGGCAGGCACUCCAGCCGCCAGGGCAGCACUGGUAAAGGGCAAGGGUCAGAAGAACUCUACUCAACUCUGAGGCAGUACUCCGCCGGCGGUCCCCAACAAGCAGCUUAGCCUUGCAGUGUAAUGUGGCCUGUCACUCAAUGCUCAGUCCCUUACCAAGCCAUCAGGGGCAGAGCUAGACAUGGAGUGGACACUUUGGAGAUGGCAGCCAUCAAUGAGUGAACAGAACCACCAACCCCCAUAUCAGCUGGCCCCUGGGGAUGCAGGUGGGGUGAAGCCAUUGGCAUAGCUGGGAGCAGCAACCAGAACUGACCAAAUGUGCCAUGUGGCAGGACCAACAGAGCUCCAAAAUCUUAAAGAUGGGCUGGAAGGAUAGCUCAGGAGUUGAGUACAUACUGAGCCAAGUUCGCUUCCCAACACCCACGUUGGAGGCUCACAACUGCCGUAACUGCAGCUCCCGCCGGUGGACCCACCAGGCCUGGGAGCUACACCUGUAAUUCCCACACCCAGAGGAGAGGCAGGAGACUCAGGCCAGCAUCACCGUCAGCUCUACAGUGAGCUCAAGGCCAGCCUGGGAGGGCUCCACAAAAUAGAAUAUAAAGUGAAAUGUCCUAUU
Molecule: long non-coding RNA, 900 nt
Filed under: Rattus norvegicus (Norway rat)
Lineage: Eukaryota; Metazoa; Chordata; Mammalia; Rodentia; Muridae
Description: long non-coding RNA NONRATT012784
Source: RNAcentral